AUCUGAGCUGCUGGACUGGGAUACACGGCUAAAUAUCAUCAUGGGAGCUGCAAAAGGGCUGGCAUACUUGCACCAUGAUUGUUCCCCACGAAUUAUAUAUCGUGACAUAAAGUCAAGUAACAUUUUGCUUGAUGGGAAUUUUGAGGCUUGAGUAUCUGACUUUGGAUUAGCCAAAUUAUUAGAAGAUGAGGAAUCUCACAUUAGGACUAUUGUAGCUGGAACAUUUGGGUAUCUGGCUCCAGAAUAAAUGCAAAGCGGUAGAGCAACAGAAAAGACUGAUGUUUAUAGUUUUGGGGUUCUGGUUCUUGAAGUAGCGAGUGGAAAGCGACCCACUGAUGCAGCAUUUAUUGAGAAGGGCUUCAACAUUGUUGGCUGGGUAAUUGUUGCUUCUGGAGCUGUGAACCAUGAGGACCUUGUUGAGCAAGUGAAGAAGUUGUUUACCAAAUUGUCAUCGGAUCCAACCACAACUUCUGAAUUAGUUGCCAAAGGGCCAGCAAUUUUUUCAGGAUUUUUUGUGUUAAAAUCCUUCGAUUUUUUAUUUAUCUUAUUUUUUCUUUUUUUCCUCGGAUCUGACAGUGGGUGUUUUGGUUCACUUCUUAUUUUUUG
Molecule: non-coding RNA, 606 nt
Organism: Camellia sinensis
Lineage: Eukaryota; Viridiplantae; Streptophyta; Magnoliopsida; Ericales; Theaceae
Source: RefSeq, a predicted model, not a curated record